UAUCCACUUAGCCAGUUAGCCCCUCCAAUUUUAGAAGAAAAGCUUCUGCUCGUUCGUGACGAAUUCUUGGUUGGUGUGAUGAUGGCAGAUUGAGAAUUAAAAUUGCGAAAAAAAGGGGAAUAUAUUAGAAGCUUCAAUGGACGACGGUGUCGUCUACUUGCUGGUGUUAGUGUAACUGGUUACAAAGCAAUACUAUUAUUUCUAAAUUUUGCUGCACGGUUGAAUUUCUACUGACUUUCCGCUUGCACAUUACCUUAAUUAGCAGAGACGACAAAAUUUCGUGGAAGAAAUCGAUUAAUCGUGCAGUAUUCUUGUAUUAAUAUCUGAAUUUAACAUGGGUUUUGCGGCAUGUGAUGUCUUUUCUUAUUCCACUCAAACAUCUCCAUUAAGCAAUACUAUUAGAAGAAUCCAUCAGUACCCUUUAAAUGGUGCUUUUUCAUUGCAAAAAGUUACCAUUUUUGGGUACCGUGAAUUGGGUUUUAAGCCAUUAUUAGCUGUGAGUAAUGUAGCAGUUGAGAAUGGUAGUGCUGAAAACCAAGCUAAUGAUAAACCCAGGUAUAGGUGGGUUAAGAUUGGCUCUGAUAUUACUGAGGAACAGAAACAAGCUAUUUUGAAGUUUCCACCAAAGAUGCCAAAUAGAUGUAAGGCAUUAAUGCAACAGAUCAUUUGCUAUUCACCUGAAAAGGGUAGUGUGUCACUCUUGUUAGAGGCUUGGGUGAAGAGUAUGAAGCCCGAGAGAGCUGAUUGGCUUGAGGUACUUAAAGAAUUGGACAGGCUGAAUCAUCCCUUGUAUUUUGAGGUAGCUGAAGUGUCCCUCUUAGAAGAAUCAUUUGAAGCCAAUGUUCGUGAUUACACCAAGAUAAUUCAUGGCCAUGCAAAGCAGGAUCGGCCGAGAGAAGCUGAAAGUAUGCUCUUAGCCAUGAAGACUAGAGGCUUCACAUGUGAUCAGGUGGUUCUCACGGCUUUAGUUCACAUGUAUAGCAAGGCUGGUAACCUUAAGAUGGCUGAAGAUACUUUUGAAGAGAUGAGGUUGCUUGGAGUAACAUUAGAUAAGAGAUCCUACGGGUCAAUGAUCAUGGCGUACGUCAGAGCUGGAAUGCUUGGCGAGGGAGAGGCUUUACUAAAGGAAAUGGAAGAACAAGAGAUCUAUGCUGGAAGAGAAGUUUAUAAAGCAAUUCUUAGAGCCUAUUCGAUGAUUGGUGAUAGCAAAGGAGCUCAAAGGGUCUUUGAUGCUCUUCAGUUGGCAGGAAUAAUCCCUGAUGCGACCUUCUGUGGGCUGCUGAUGAAUGCCUAUGUUGUGGCUGGUCAAUNUUGUGGCUGGUCAACUGAGCGAGGCUUGUAUUGCGUUUGAAAAUUUGAGAAGAGCUGGCAUAGAACCUAAUGACAAGUGUAUCGCACUGCUGUUGUCAGCUUAUGAAACCGAAAACAACCUGGGCAAGGCACUUGAUGUUUUGAUGAAUUUGGAGAGGGAUGGUAUUGUGCUUGGUAGAGAAGCUUCAGAAAUAUUGGCUCGUUGGUUCAAGAAACUUGGGGUAGUUGGAGAAGUGGAGCUUGUGUUGAGAGAAUUUAUGCAUCAAACUUAGUGAAUUAAGAAUACUGAUGCUUUGAAGUUUCUCUCCGUUGCAUCUGUUUGAGAACCAGUCUUGGUCUCCUAUCUACAGGUAUCUUCACACUUUGCUGUAAGUCGAUACAACAUACUGCCCAGGAAAGUAUCACAAGUUACAGCUGUUUGCAUCAACAAAACAAGCAGAGAGUAUGUUUUUCAUAUUUCUGGUAAGAGGUUGAGGGCAAUAAGCAGCUUUUCAUGUAUGUAAACAACUCUCAAAUACUGGAAUCUGUCUCCUGAGUCUUUCGGCAACAGGAGCAACAGUACGGUUGGCUGAAACAACGGUGUACAUAUAGGUCAUGGCUUUGUCCCAAGUGUUGGUUGAUCAUCUUCUUUCAGCUUCAGUGUUUAGUCAUGUGAAACCUUUCCUUGAGUUGGUUCAUCCUGAGUUGUAACCCUUAUUUUUGUUGAACCUAAGCCAUUGACAAAAAUCCAAGUGUUUGAUUAGAGAAACAAGAUUAAGAAAAGUAUGUGUACUUCAGAUCUGGAAACAUACAACGAAUGCCAAAAUCUGCCAUUUUGAUUA
Molecule: non-coding RNA, 2132 nt
Organism: Nicotiana tabacum (common tobacco)
Lineage: Eukaryota; Viridiplantae; Streptophyta; Magnoliopsida; Solanales; Solanaceae
Source: RefSeq, a predicted model, not a curated record